Molecule: transfer RNA, 76 nt
Filed under: Balneola sp.
Lineage: Bacteria; Pseudomonadati; Balneolota; Balneolia; Balneolales; Balneolaceae
Also listed under: 1 other name
Description: tRNA-Glu
Rfam family: tRNA
About the family: Transfer RNA (tRNA) molecules are approximately 80 nucleotides in length.
Source: RNAcentral
GCCGCGUUCGUCUAGGGGUCCAGGACGCCGCCCUUUCACGGCGGUAGCACGGGUUCAAAUCCCGUACGCGGUACUA